AAUUUCAAUUAGACGAUAAACGAAAGGUCUACCACCCUAUCGAUGGUGUUUCGAGCGUACGAAUGGUACGAAUAACCGACUAGAAUUGCGGAGCAUGGAGUUGGCUUGCAAGUGCAAGUUAGCUGCUAGCUACUACCUGCUUCAAAUACGACCUGGCAUCCACGACUACAUGCAUGGCGUAGUUACGUACUACUUGCCCUGUUUGGGAUUCUCGCCUUCCGAUUAGACCAGGAUAAGUUCUUCUGCUCUGCAAUUUCAGAACGCUGGAAAUGUACGCUCCAUAUACAACACUAUGGUUACACCGUGGAGAAUCGACCGAGUUCUCGCCGCUCUGUGACAACUUUGAGGCAACUCUUCAGGCACACCUGUUUUUUAUUGUCACCAAGCCGCAUACGUGGCAUAGAAUAAACCCGAUAGUCAAUGGUUUCCUCGUGUGCUGCGUUUUGGAGGGUCAGGCGACUCCGAAUGUGUGAAAUUCUACAAUUACGCGAGAACAAUGCGAUAUUCUAUCAUUAUCGAUAUCGCUCGUCGUAGACAAUCUAUCAUAUUGGCGGCAACGGUUUUGAAAAAGAAAUAAAUAUAUAGCAAGUAUCAUCGAGAAGACAGCGGGUAACGAGUAAAUGAUAAAAAUUAAAUUUUCCUAAAUUAUGUAUAUUCUUUAAGACGCGAGGCUUAGGAUAAUACACAGAAGGUUAAGUAAAACUUUUAUAUUUUAGCUUCUAAAUGAGCAACUACCUCGAGUACGGUAAACAGUAAAGGCGGGCAAAUAAACUCGACUAAGCAACUGCUAUCUUGUACAGAAGUGUAACUGAAAUGAAAACAAGAGCAUCUUCUUAAAGCAUGCUCUUUAAGAGUUACAGAACUAUACAGUCGUUUGAAAAUGUCCGUGUUUUCUUCUGUUAUUUUAAACCCAAACAUCUACCGUAGAAUCGAGGAUUUUAGGAAAUGAAGCCAAAUUUGCUAAGUGAAACUUUGCAUGGUGAAACCCUGAUGUCGAAAGCGAAACAUAGAAUGUAUUCGUCGAACGUAAUUAUAAAUACCGUUUGACUGUCAUGAAAAAUUCGAAUCAUUGUACAACAAGAAAUACGCUACAACGUAACUAGUCGUUAACGUUCUUAUGUCUGCCUGUUAAUAGCCUUACAUGAAACAAGAAGAACAAUACUCUACCAGACAAUAUUAAAUCGCGAUAUAGUAAUAUCUUUAUAGAUGAUAUUUCUAUAUCUAUUUGAUUCGCUUUCGCUCGUUAUUAUCUUUUCUUACUGAUAUUACUACUACGCUGAGAAAUCGAAUUAUGUGUAUAAAACUUUAUAUUGCGCAUCAUAUCUACACACAGGGUGUUUGGCUACAAGUGUCAGGAAAUUUAAGGGAUGAUUCUUGACACCGAAAUAAGACAAAAAUCAAGAAUAAUAAAAUUGCGUUUUCGGCUUUGUUGUUUAGUUACUGGCAAUUAAAAAUACCCCUGCACGCGAGCA
RNAcentral lists this unclassified non-coding RNA (1472 nucleotides) under Bombus terrestris (buff-tailed bumblebee). RNAcentral describes it as "misc RNA ENSBTSG00005022427.1". The record is from RNAcentral. Lineage: Eukaryota; Metazoa; Arthropoda; Insecta; Hymenoptera; Apidae.